AAAGAUAAUAGUGUAAAUUUAGCAUAUUUGGUUUUCAUCCAAAUGGAAUAAUAUAAUAUUUAUCUUUA
RNAcentral lists this transfer RNA (68 nucleotides) under Sypharochiton sinclairi. RNAcentral's name for it is "tRNA-Glu". Lineage: Eukaryota; Metazoa; Mollusca; Polyplacophora; Chitonida; Chitonidae. The record is from RNAcentral.